GAUGAAAGAACGUAGCGAAAUGCGAUACUUGGUGUGAAUUGCAGAAUCCCGUGAACCAUCGAGUCUUUGAACGCAAGUUGCGCCCGAAGCCAUUAGGCCGAGGGCACGCCUGCCUGGGCGUCACACGUCGUUGCCCCCCCAUCUACUCCUUCGGGAUUGCGGGGGGCGGAUGAUGGCCUCCCGUGCGCCUCGCCGCGCGGUUGGCAUAAAUGCCAAGUCCUCGGCGACGCACGCCACGACAAUCGGUGGUUGCGAAACCUCGGUUGCCCGUCGUGUGCGGUCGUCGCGCAUCGAGGGCUCGAAAAAAUUGCCGGGUUCCGGCUCGGCUUUCAACGCGACCCCAGGUCAGGCGGGGUUACCCGCUGAAUUUAAGCAUAUCAAUAAGCGGAGGA
Molecule: unclassified non-coding RNA, 392 nt
Filed under: soil metagenome
Description: partial contains 5.8S ribosomal RNA, internal transcribed spacer 2, and large subunit ribosomal RNA
Rfam family: 5.8S ribosomal RNA (bases 6-123)
Source: RNAcentral